GAACCUCAAAAUCCAAACUAUACUAGUACUUGGUCUUUGUGCUGGUGUAUAUCUAUCCUUAGAGCCGCCCACCCCUUGUUCUCUUCAUAGUAUCAUCCCAUAGGUUUCCUAGAAGAAACGUAGAAUAAUGUAGGGAGUUUGUGUCUUUCUUUCUUUCUUUCCCUUUUCUCUGUUGUUUCUGGCUAGGAAGAAUUCGAGGUUUCUCUGGUGCCUGCCUUAGUUUUGGCUUUCAAGCUUCGAGUAGCACAAGCUGCACUUUCAGGGUCUUUCUAUUGUAUAUGCAUCGCGUAUGAGGUCAUUAAUUCAUGCCCUAGAAGCAUGAGAGGAAACGGAGAUGGGAGGAAGGUUGAUGCCAAAGCCAAGGAGUUUGGCUUAGACAAAUUAAGAGGGAGAAUAUCAAGGCAGGCACAUAUACAAAUGGACCUAUGGUACGUAGCUCCCACCUACUGAUUUCCGAUUCCAAUUCCAUCCUAGCGUGCAAAGCGCUCGACACGACACAGAUUCUACUUCUUUCAUCGGAGUUCCCCUUUAAGACUUCAGUUUUAAUUCCAGCCCAGACUGUAAAAUGAUCAACACUAGUGCUUGCCCAUACCCUCCGCCGGGUCCGGGGCUAUUUCCUUUUGGAACUUGUCAUCGAGGAUGGUAAUACGGGGUAAACACCAACAUUGUUUUCUGGUUUUCUUGAGUACACAAUAUAUAUUAAUUAUGUUUCGGUACUCGAGUAUUAGGUUAUGCAUCUCUAUUCAGUAUUCAAAAGAUUAAAUACCCCUUUGCCAAAUGAAAAAGUUAAAUAUGUUACGUGUAUUGUGAUUUUGCGUCAAUGAAGAGUUCCCCCUUGAGCUUCAGAA
This is a long non-coding RNA of Theobroma cacao (cacao), 848 nucleotides long. RefSeq lists it as uncharacterized. Lineage: Eukaryota; Viridiplantae; Streptophyta; Magnoliopsida; Malvales; Malvaceae. The record is from RefSeq and is a predicted model, not a curated record.